CUUUGGGGGGGGGGCUAAUACAUGCAAGUCGAACGAGUUCUGAUUAUUGAAAGGUGCUUGCAUCUUGAUUUAAUUUUGAACGAGUGGCGGACGGGUGAGUAACACGUGGGUAACCUGCCCUUAAGUGGGGGAUAACAUUUGGAAACAGAUGCUAAUACCGCAUAAAUCCAAGAACCGCAUGGUUCUUGGCUGAAAGAUGGCGUAAGCUAUCGCUUUUGGAUGGACCCGCGGCGUAUUAGCUAGUUGGUGAGGUAACGGCUCACCAAGGCAAUGAUACGUAGCCGAACUGAGAGGUUGAUCGGCCACAUUGGGACUGAGACACGGCCCAAACUCCUACGGGAGGCAGCAGUAGGGAAUCUUCCACAAUGGACGCAAGUCUGAUGGAGCAACGCCGCGUGAGUGAAGAAGGCUUUCGGGUCGUAAAACUCUGUUGUUGGAGAAGAAUGGUCGGCAGAGUAACUGUUGUCGGCGUGACGGUAUCCAACCAGAAAGCCACGGCUAACUACGUGCCAGCAGCCGCGGUAAUACGUAGGUGGCAAGCGUUAUCCGGAUUUAUUGGGCGUAAAGCGAGCGCAGGCGGUUUUUUAAGUCUGAUGUGAAAGCCCUCGGCUUAACCGAGGAAGUGCAUCGGAAACUGGGAAACUUGAGUGCAGAAGAGGACAGUGGAACUCCAUGUGUAGCGGUGAAAUGCGUAGAUAUAUGGAAGAACACCAGUGGCGAAGGCGGCUGUCUGGUCUGUAACUGACGCUGAGGCUCGAAAGCAUGGGUAGCGAACAGGAUUAGAUACCCUGGUAGUCCAUGCCGUAAACGAUGAAUGCUAGGUGUUGGAGGGUUUCCGCCCUUCAGUGCCGCAGCUAACGCAUUAAGCAUUCCGCCUGGGGAGUACGACCGCAAGGUUGAAACUCAAAGGAAUUGACGGGGGCCCGCACAAGCGGUGGAGCAUGUGGUUUAAUUCGAAGCAACGCGAAGAACCUUACCAGGUCUUGACAUCUUUUGAUCACCUGAGAGAUCAGGUUUCCCCUUCGGGGGCAAAAUGACAGGUGGUGCAUGGUUGUCGUCAGCUCGUGUCGUGAGAUGUUGGGUUAAGUCCCGCAACGAGCGCAACCCUUAUGACUAGUUGCCAGCAUUUAGUUGGGCACUCUAGUAAGACUGCCGGUGACAAACCGGAGGAAGGUGGGGAUGACGUCAAAUCAUCAUGCCCCUUAUGACCUGGGCUACACACGUGCUACAAUGGAUGGUACAACGAGUUGCGAGACCGCGAGGUCAAGCUAAUCUCUUAAAGCCAUUCUCAGUUCGGACUGUAGGCUGCAACUCGCCUACACGAAGUCGGAAUCGCUAGUAAUCGCGGAUCAGCACGCCGCGGUGAAUACGUUCCCGGGCCUUGUACACACCGCCCGUCACACCAUGAGAGUUUGUAACACCCGAAGCCGGUGGCGUAACCCUUUAGGGAGCGAGCCGUCUAAAGGUGAACCAAAAAU
This 1478-nucleotide ribosomal RNA is filed under the name Lacticaseibacillus rhamnosus. RNAcentral describes it as "bacterial SSU rRNA". It matches the Rfam family "Bacterial small subunit ribosomal RNA". The record is from RNAcentral. Lineage: Bacteria; Bacillati; Bacillota; Bacilli; Lactobacillales; Lactobacillaceae.